UAAAGUCAGAAGAGUUAUGGAUUUUUAAGUA
This 31-nucleotide non-coding RNA is filed under the name Mus musculus (house mouse). Lineage: Eukaryota; Metazoa; Chordata; Mammalia; Rodentia; Muridae. RNAcentral also lists the same sequence under 1 other name. The record is from RNAcentral.